This 1110-nucleotide ribosomal RNA is filed under the name Sordariomycetes sp. genotype 240. RNAcentral describes it as "eukaryotic LSU rRNA". The stretch from base 526 to 1110 matches the Rfam family "Eukaryotic large subunit ribosomal RNA", at positions 1 to 598 of the family's 3401-position model. The record is from RNAcentral. Lineage: Eukaryota; Fungi; Ascomycota; Sordariomycetes.
GGAUCAUUACAAGACGAACGAAGAGUUGCAAGACUCGACAACCAUCGCGAACGUUACCUCGUCGUUGCUUCGGCGGGCGGCCCCCCGGCCCUGGUGCCGGGGGCGCCCCUGGGCCCGCCUGCCGGGCGCCCGCCGGAGGACCACAACACCUCUGUUUUCUCCGUGCCGCCUCUGAGUCGACUAGACAAAUCAGUUAAAACUUUCAACAACGGAUCUCUUGGUUCUGGCAUCGAUGAAGAACGCAGCGAAAUGCGAUAAGUAAUGUGAAUUGCAGAAUUCAGUGAAUCAUCGAAUCUUUGAACGCACAUUGCGCCCGCCGGUAUUCCGGCGGGCAUGCCUGUCCGAGCGUCAUUUCGACCCCUCGAGCGCCCCCGCGCGCGCUCGGUGUUGGGGCCCUACGUGCGCCGUAGGCCCCGAAUUCCAGUGGCGGGCUCGCCGUGUUCCCGAGCGUAGUAGUGCUACCUCGCUCCGGGGCGCGCGGCGGGUGCCGGCCGUGAAACCUCGAAACAACGAAACCCCCAAGGUUGACCUCGGAUCAGGUAGGAAUACCCGCUGAACUUAAGCAUAUCAAUAAGCGGAGGAAAAGAAACCAACAGGGAUUGCCCCAGUAACGGCGAGUGAAGCGGCAACAGCUCAAAUUUGAAAUCUGGCUCCGGCCCGAGUUGUAAUUUGCAGAGGAUGCUUUGGGCGCGGCGCCUCCCGAGUCCCCUGGAACGGGGCGCCACAGAGGGUGAGAGCCCCGUAUGGUAGGACGCCUAGCCUGUGUAAAGCUCCUUCGACGAGUCGAGUAGUUUGGGAAUGCUGCUCUAAAUGGGAGGUAAAUUCCUUCUAAAGCUAAAUACCGGCCAGAGACCGAUAGCGUACAAGUAGAGUGAUCGAAAGAUGAAAAGCACUUUGAAAAGAGGGUCAAACAGCACGUGAAAUUGUUGAAAGGGAAGCGCUUGUGACCAGACGUGCGCUGGGUCGAUCAUCCGGUGUUCUCACCGGUGCACUCGGCCCGGCGCAGGCCAGCAUCGGUUCUCGUGGGGGGAGAAAAACCCGGGGAACGUGGCGCCUCCGGGCGUGUUAUAGCCCCGGGCGCAAUACCCUCGCGGGGACCGAGGCCCGCGC